GGGGGGAGGUCAGAAUCUGGGAUGUUUCCUCAGUGCCCCGUGCUCCCGGGUCUGCUCUGUUGGAUUCGUGCUCCCUGCCGGGCAGCCGCCU
This 91-nucleotide microRNA precursor is filed under the name Canis lupus familiaris (dog). RNAcentral's name for it is "mir-8799 microRNA precursor family". It matches the Rfam family "mir-8799 microRNA precursor family". RNAcentral also lists the same sequence under 1 other name. The record is from Rfam by way of RNAcentral. Lineage: Eukaryota; Metazoa; Chordata; Mammalia; Carnivora; Canidae.